This 70-nucleotide transfer RNA is filed under the name Ovis aries (sheep). It matches the Rfam family "tRNA". Rfam says of the family: Transfer RNA (tRNA) molecules are approximately 80 nucleotides in length. Their secondary structure includes four short double-helical elements and three loops (D, anti-codon, and T loops). Further hydrogen bonds mediate the characteristic L-shaped molecular structure. tRNAs have two regions of fundamental functional importance: the anti-codon, which is responsible for specific mRNA codon recognition, and the 3' end, to which the tRNAs corresponding amino acid is attached (by aminoacyl-tRNA synthetases). tRNAs cope with the degeneracy of the genetic code in two manners: having more than one tRNA (with a specific anti-codon) for a particular amino acid; and 'wobble' base-pairing, i.e. permitting non-standard base-pairing at the 3rd anti-codon position. Lineage: Eukaryota; Metazoa; Chordata; Mammalia; Artiodactyla; Bovidae. The record is from Rfam by way of RNAcentral.
CCCUGGUGUCUCAGAUGUAAAGAAUCUGCCUGCAAAGCAGGAGACCGGGGUUUGAUCCCUUGGUCGGGGA